UACGUAGGGCGCAAGCGUUGUCCGGAAUUAUUGGGCGUAAAGAGCUCGUAGGCGGUUUGUCGCGUCUGCUGUGAAAACCCGAGGCUCAACCUCGGGCCUGCAGUGGGUACGGGCAGACUAGAGUGUGGUAGGGGGAGACUGGAAUUCCUGGUGUAGCGGUGGAAUGCGCAGAUAUCAGGAGGAACACCAAUGGCGAAGGCAGGUCUCUGGGCCACAACUGACGCUGAGGAGCGAAAGCGUGGGGAGCGAACAGG
RNAcentral lists this ribosomal RNA (254 nucleotides) under uncultured bacterium. Its description in RNAcentral is "partial 16S ribosomal RNA". It matches the Rfam family "Bacterial small subunit ribosomal RNA", at positions 524 to 776 of the family's 1533-position model. The record is from RNAcentral.